Molecule: ribosomal RNA, 468 nt
Filed under: uncultured bacterium
Lineage: Bacteria
Description: partial 16S ribosomal RNA
Rfam family: Bacterial small subunit ribosomal RNA
Source: RNAcentral
GACGAACGCUGGCGGCGUGCUUAACACAUGCAAGUCGAACGGGCAUGCCCUGCUUUUGUGGGGUGCUCGAGUGGCGAACGGGUGAGUAAGACGUGCGUGACUUGCCCUCGACUUUGGGAUAACUUCAGGAAACUGGGGCCAAUACCGGCCAGGAACUCCUUCUUCACGGUGGGGGUUCGAGAGUUUCGGCGGUUGGGGAUGGACGCGCGGCUUCUCAGCUUGUUGGUGUGGUAGUGGCUUACCGAGGCUUUGACGGGUAGCCGGACUGCGAGGGUGACCGGCCACAUUGGGACUGGGCUACGGCGCAGACUAGUAGGGGAGGCAGCAGUGGAGAGUGUUGCACACUGGGCGGGAGCCUGAGGCAGCAACGCCGCGUCCGGGAUGACGGGAUUCGGGUUGGACACCGCUUUCGCCUGUGACGAAGCGUGAGUGACGGUAAUGGGUAAAGAAGCACCGGCUAACUACGUG